UACAGAGGCCCCAAGCAUUAUCCGGAAUCACUGGGCGUAAAGGGUGUCUAGGCGGUCAUGUUAGUCUUCCGUAAAAUCCGUGGGCUCAACCUACGGUGGGCGGAGGAAACGGCAUGACUAGAGGUUGGCAGAGGUGUGUGGAACUCACGGUGUAGGGGUGAAAUCCGUUGAUAUCGUGGGGAACACCAAAGGCGAAGGCAGCACACUGGGCCAAAUCUGACGCUAAAGCACGAAAGCCAGGGGAGCGAACGGG
RNAcentral lists this ribosomal RNA (253 nucleotides) under uncultured bacterium. RNAcentral's name for it is "partial 16S ribosomal RNA". It matches the Rfam family "Bacterial small subunit ribosomal RNA", at positions 524 to 776 of the family's 1533-position model. The record is from RNAcentral.